GAACGCUGGCGGCAUGCCUUACACAUGCAAGUCGAACGGUAGAGUAGCAAUACUUGAGAGUGGCGAACGGGUGAGUAAUAUAUCGGAACGUGCCCAGUCGUGGGGGGAUAACGUAGAGAAAUUUACGCUAAUACCGCAUACGAUCUAAGGAUGAAAGCGGGGGAUUCGCAAGAACCUCGCGCGAUUGGAGCGGCUGAUAUCAGAUUAGGUUGUUGGUGAGGUAAAAGCUCACCAAGCCGACGAUCUGUAGCUGGUCUGAGAGGACGACCAGCCACACUGGGACUGAGACACGGCCCCAGACUCCUACGGGAGGCAGCAGUGGGGAAUUUUGGACAAUGGGCGCAAGCCUGAUCCAGCAAUGCCGCGUGCAGGAUGAAGGCCUUCGGGUUGUAAACUGCUUUUGUACGGAACGAAACGGUGAGCUCUAAUACAGUUUGCUAAUGACGGUACCGUAAGAAUAAGCACCGGCUAACUACGUG
RNAcentral lists this ribosomal RNA (479 nucleotides) under uncultured bacterium. RNAcentral's name for it is "bacterial SSU rRNA". It matches the Rfam family "Bacterial small subunit ribosomal RNA", at positions 31 to 507 of the family's 1533-position model. The record is from RNAcentral.